Molecule: long non-coding RNA, 582 nt
Filed under: Pan troglodytes (chimpanzee)
Lineage: Eukaryota; Metazoa; Chordata; Mammalia; Primates; Hominidae
Description: lincRNA
Source: RNAcentral
UUGUGCCAUUCAGAGCCAGCUCCCUUUGCUAUUGAAGAACUUAUUUCCCUACAUGUCAAGACUUCUGCUGGCUGAUGGCCCCCAGCUGUGAGCUCUUUCAGGCAUCACCUUUGGCUGCAAAAGGCUCCCUCUCCUGAAGUUACUACCUGCAUCCCUGGAGGCAGACUUCAUCUCAUGUCUUCAUCCAAAGUUUGAACAAAUUGGCUAAGAAGGUGCUAGACAUGUAAAGGGACUAUUUUUUUUCUUAAUUCAAAUGUAGGAGGAGUAUGGAUCUCCAGGAACCAGAAGAGCUGCAUACAUAUGCCCAACAAUUCAGCGACAGCACCAUCAGCCCAGAUGGGGGUUGUGAGCAAAGUCCGAGAUGGUCAGAAGGAAAGGAGAACCUGGGAGGUGGCGAGUGUCCACUGCUCUAGUCUCAGGACAGCCUGCUCUGUUAAAGCACCUGGUCCUUCUUCCUGAAGACUUCAGUCCCACCUUGCAUUGUGUUUUGUUCUGUGUGUGUGCGUGUCUAUCUCUCCUGCUAACUGCUGAGCUUGCUAAGGAAAGGAACCUUGUUUUAUGAAAUAAAUGAUAUUUAUGAGC